GCGGAGGAAAAGAAACUAACAAGGAUUCCCCUAGUAACUGCGAGUGAAGCGGGAAAAGCUCAAAUUUAAAAUCCUUCGGGAGUUGUAAUCUAUAGAAGUGUUUUCGGUCGUUGCCUCGGACAAGUCUCUUGGAACAGAGCGUCAUAGAGGGUGAGAAUCCCGUCCUUGCCGAGCUCCCAACGUCUAUGUGAUACACUUUCAAAGAGUCGAGUUGUUUGGGAAUGCAGCUCAAAAUGGGUGGUAAACUCCAUCUAAAGCUAAAUAUUGGCGAGAGACCGAUAGCGAACAAGUACCGUGAGGGAAAGAUGAAAAGCACUUUGGAAAGAGAGUUAAACAGUACGUGAAAUUGUUGAAAGGGAAGCGCUUGGAGUCAGUCGCGUUGCAAGGACUCAGCCUCACGGUGUAUUUCUUUGCAACGGGUCAACAUCAGUUUCGACCGCGGAAAAAGGGCUUGGGGAAUGUGGCAACCUCGGUUGUGUUAUAGCCCCCUGUCGUACGCCGCGGUUGGGACUGAGGUCUGCUUACAGGAUGUUGACGAAAUGGCUCUAAGCGACCCGUCU
Molecule: ribosomal RNA, 560 nt
Filed under: Dacrymyces puniceus
Lineage: Eukaryota; Fungi; Basidiomycota; Dacrymycetes; Dacrymycetales; Dacrymycetaceae
Description: eukaryotic LSU rRNA
Rfam family: Eukaryotic large subunit ribosomal RNA
Source: RNAcentral